UGCCAGCCGCCGCGGUAAUACGGAGGGUGCGAGCGUUAUUCGGAAUUACUGGGCGUAAAGGGCGCGUAGGCGGCGCGUUAAGUGAGAAGUGAAAGCCCCCGGCUUAACCGGGGAGGUGCUUCUCAGACUGGCGUGCUAGAGUGUGGGAGAGGGAGACGGAAUUCCCGGUGUAGCGGUGAAAUGCGUAGAGAUCGGGAGGAACCCCAGUGGCGAAGGCGGCUUUCUGGACCGAUACUGACGCUGAGACGCGAAAGCGUGGGGAGCAAACCGGAUUAGAUA
RNAcentral lists this ribosomal RNA (279 nucleotides) under uncultured bacterium. RNAcentral describes it as "partial 16S ribosomal RNA". It matches the Rfam family "Bacterial small subunit ribosomal RNA", at positions 506 to 784 of the family's 1533-position model. The record is from RNAcentral.